UUCUGGCAUAGAGGAACCACACCAAUCCACCCCGAACUUGGUUGUUAAACUCUAUUGCGGUGAUGAUACUGUAGGGGAGAUCCUGCAGAAAAAUAGCUCAGCGC
Molecule: non-coding RNA, 104 nt
Organism: Lupinus albus (white lupine)
Lineage: Eukaryota; Viridiplantae; Streptophyta; Magnoliopsida; Fabales; Fabaceae
Source: the annotation of a GenBank genome assembly